UGGGGAAUAUUGCACAAUGGGCGGAAGCCUGAUGCAGCGACGCCGCGUGGGGGAUGACGGCCUUUGGGUUGUAAACCUCUUUCAGUGCAGAACAAGGCUCUUUGUGGGUUGAGGGUAUGCGCAGAAGAAGCGCCGGCUAACUACGUGCCAGCAGCCGCGGUAAUACGUAGGGCGCGAGCGUUGUCCGGAUUUAUUGGGCGUAAAGAGCUCGUAGGCGGUUUGUCGCGUCUGCUGUGAAAUCCUCUGGCUUAACUGGGGGCGUGCAGCGGGUAGGGGCGGAGUGGAGUGCGGUAGGGGGGACUGGGAUUCCUGGUGUAGCGGUGGAAUGCGGAGAUAUCAGGAGGAGAACCGGUGGCGAAGGGGGGUCUCUGGGCAGUUACUGACGCUGAGGUGCGAAAGCAUGGGGGGCGAACAG
RNAcentral lists this ribosomal RNA (415 nucleotides) under uncultured bacterium. RNAcentral describes it as "bacterial SSU rRNA". It matches the Rfam family "Bacterial small subunit ribosomal RNA", at positions 355 to 775 of the family's 1533-position model. The record is from RNAcentral.